GAGGCGGCCCGGGUGCCGCUCCCCGCCCGGCCCCUGCCCCGGGCAGCCCGCCAGAUGCUGCUGCUUGCCAUGAUGCUCUGUGUGAUUUGCACCAUUCCCCAAGGACAAAGCAGAGAGAUCCUUGGUUUGGACAGGUCCUGCAGUGCCUCCUCCACCAGCUUUCCUCCACAGAAACCCAGCUGGGCCUUACCCGUGGCAGUUCCUGCAAGUUGACAGGGCCACCAAAGCUCUUAGUAACUGCUGCAAUAUAAAGCAAAUAUUUUUCUAGCUCUUUUAAUCCAUCCACAAGACUGAUCCAGUGCUUAUCUGCCUCAGUCUUAGCAAGGGGGAAAACUAUUAAUUUUUGUCCUGUAGUAAGUGUUGCAUGGGGACAGUGUCCAAGGAAGUCUUGCCAAAUGCCAUUUCCUCUCAUAGUAGCCCUGGGUGUUCAGCUUUUCUGCAUAUUAAAUGUCUGGGGCAGAGUGACCUGGCUUUUGCUUUUUGAAAAAAUAAUGUAGAAAAUACCACCUUCAUUAGUCAUUUUUGCCAUGGAAGUGGCAUUUCCUGGAGCAGCUCCCUGUUAGAUCCUUCCUACAGACUGCAGGGUUGCUGCCUAAGUACGCCUGGCCUGGCUGGAUUCACUCAUAGUUUGUGUUCUCCAUGAACAUACAGUCUCGUUCUAAAAAGCAGCCUUGGAAAUGGAUUCUCUUGGGCUGGUACCCUGAGCAGAGCUGAGGGUCAGCAAGGUACGUGCUUUAAAGUGCCAGUACAUGCAUCUCUGGGAUUUAGGAGGAAACUUGGACCCAGUGAUGUUUGAGGUGCAUAUCUCCUUCAUAAGUCUUCUGCACAUCUCUUUCAAGGAGAAUGUGUUCAUACCCAUUUAUUUCAUGGCUGCUAAGUGCAGAGGUGAUCUACAGGACUUGGGCAGCUCACUGAAUUGGUAUAAAAACUUGGAAGACGUGAAAAUCAGGUGGCCAUGCUUGGCUUUAAAAAGAUUUCACUGACAGAGUCUGAAUGAAACAACUCUCUGGGGUUCAAACCAGCAGGCAUUGUCAGAUACAAGGGAUUAAAAGGCUUCUUAAUGUGGCUUAGUAGUGUACACAAGAUUGGCUUACUUGUAUGAGCUCUUCUUUUGUCACAUUGAUCUUUAUUUUGCAUUGUGCUUAGUACAACAGAAACUGGAGGCUUGAAGUCGUCUUUCCUGAAUCAUCUGACAGGACUUGGCCCUUUUAUUGCUUAGUAAAAUAUUUUUUUGUGAAGGAGGAAUUGAUUUUUGCCAGUGUAGCCACUGUUGAGUAAUAGCUGAAGAAUACCAAGUUGUAAUAAUUUCAUGAGCACUGUAUGUGGCCAGGUCGGUGAGAGGAAAUUACUAUACAGUGGGUUGUACUUCUUUAUAUUACUUUCCUGUAUAGAUGUAUCGAUCUAACCUAAUAGGGAGCUAGCUGAUGAAGGAAUAAAAGGCAAUUCAGUGGUUCCCCUGUGUCAGCUCUAUGUGACUAAACCCAUGAGGUGGUAAUUACAGGAAUGAUAGCUCCAGUUCUGAGGGAUGCAGCUGGUUUGUCAGGCUGCAAACUAAAAAUCAUAGGAGGAUAAAGUUGGCAAGGACUGAUGGAAAAAAUACUUUAACACCGAGGCAGACUUUGUAGAAGAGGCUGGAAGAAGCUGGGCCUUCCUCUCUGCAGCAGUCUAAGUCACAGUGUAAGAAGGAAGGGCAAGUGUGUUGACCAGCUUAUUGUUCUUAAGAUCUAUUUUGUCUUAAAUGUUUUGGUGGUGAGUAAGUAUUUUGUGGUCAGUACUUACAGCCAUUACUUCAUGAGAGACUAAAACCGUGAGGUCUGGAUCUGUCUUGGGUAUGCAGAGGUAGCCAUGGUUGAUGCACUGGGGGUGCAACCUGAGAACUGGUCUGAUUGCAGCCAAAAACACAGAUCUGGAGGAACAGUUAACUGGGCACUUGAGACAGCAAAGUGCAAAGACAGUCACAAGUUUUGUUUCUUCUUUUGUCUAUAAAUAAAUAGCUUUUAGAAUAGUGCGUGGGCUUUCACAUACAGGUUUAAUUAACCUUGGUGUUCUGACAUGAUGGCUUGUGUUUGUUCUUUUUUUGAUAUGGCAUAGUCAAAACCACAGUAUCAAAGGUAAGAACAAAUUUAUUACAUAGACACCAUUAGUGUAAAUACCCCAGUUGUGGGAUACUGGCCAGCUCCUGUUUCUCAGCUGAAAGAUAAUACAGCAAAAGAGGUUUUUCUUUUAUUGUCCUUUUAUUCACCAUUUAUUGCACUGUUUUCACCACUUGCUGUACAUAAUCGAUUGGUUGUCCCCUGCUGUUACCAUGGAUAUUUAAUACAUCGACAUGGAAAGGAGACACAUUUUCAUGAAAGGGAAAAUGCAGCUACAAAACUCUUGCACUGAACGGACAGCUGUGCCAUAUUUUACGUGAACACAGCCAAUAAUGGCUUUUUGUUUCUUGUUCUUGCCUGCCAGCACAGCUACACACACAGAUACCCCUCCUGCACCUCGUGUCCAUUCUCCCUCCCUGGAGCAGGUGAGAAAGGCCAGAGGCAGGUUUGUAGCUCAGUUGCCUUGAAACUCGGAAACACGUAACGAAAGAAUGGCAAAUGCUGUUGGUUAGUGUGGUCCAGCACAAACAGGAAUCCAAGACCCUCCCUUAGACUCUUACGUCUGGGUUUUCUUGAGAUCAAAGGGGAACAUGGUAUUUUGAACAAAAUGUGCAAGGGCCCACCCUUCCUGAAUUGUACUUUUGGUGGUAUGUUCUGUCCUGCAGCUGUAAUGCUCUACAGGAGGGUUUGGGUUUUCCCCCUCCCUGCCCUCUUUUAAUAUGUAUCAUGAGAGAAAUUUAAUGGAUGUUUUCACAGGAGUCUCUGAUCCUACACUGCUCUCAUUGUGCCUGUGUGUUCUGUGAGCAGGGCUGCUGAUCAUUAACAGUUUAAGCCUAGCACCUCUAAUUCAUCAGAAGUUCAUGUAAUGUAUUACUUACAUUAGAUGUAGGUGCCAAAACUGACCUGUAAACCUAAAAUGAAAUUGGGACUACAAAAUUAAUUUCAUUUAGAUUGUGAAAAUUAGACUAUAAAUGGAAUUCCUGUGGGAACUGUGUAAAUCUUCUUUGACAUUGAUUUAAUGUAAUUCUUUUCUUAAUAGGCUAACUUUAAAUUGUGUAACGAGUACAUAGUCUUAACCAGCACAGAUUCGUAGCAAAUCUUGCAGUAAGAUGAGUACUAACAGGAACAUUCUGUGGUGUUUCUGGAUUUAGAGAUCACACUGUAUAGCUUCAAUGCAGAUGACUAGACAGUCAGGCAUCAUACUCCCUCCCCAACUCAGAGCAGAUAGGUAAUGACACAGAGCUGUCAUGUCAUCUCCAUCCCAUCAAUAAAUUUUAAUUUAUAAAAUGCACAUGCACAGGAUAACACAAAUUCAGGGUGAAGAUUUAUGUUCAAAACUGAAGUCGGAAUCUGAGUUUCAAGGUUAGUACCUGAAUCAGAAUUUCAUGUCCAAAUCACAAUAGUUAAUCUCUAAUCUGGGAAAAAUUUGAAUUAAAGACUUAAUUUUUCAAACUGGAUCCAGGAAUUCAAGGUCUGACUAGCUCUGGAAGAGAAAUUUGCAUUCUCUUAAUCGAUGGCAAGUAAGUGUGCUUGUUUUAUGCAUGAAAUUAAAUUGAGGACUGAAAUUAUUCUGAAUCAUUCAAAUAUUCGUGCUCUAGAUGACAUCAUAUUCUGCUUGCCACGCUGCUUUUUUUCUUGGGAUUUAGACAUGUUCUUGUUGUUUUUAAAGAUAACAUGUUCAGGUCUGAUUCUUCAAGUUUUAUUCUGCCUGUGAGUAAAUUCAGAGGGUUGGAUUAACACAGGCACUCUCUGUGCAUGAGAGCUUGGGCAUUAGCUUCUCUCUGCAGGGGAACAUUUAAGGUGCUUGAGAUAAUUUGACCUAUGAAAACAAUAAUUUUGAAUGUUUCACUGCAAAUAACUCCUAAUAUCCUGGCAUUCUGUAAAAUGUGUGACAGUGCUUUUAAACAGGGAAGAAUAUGCUGGAUGCUGGGACAUCUCAAAACUUGCUUGAUUUUUCUGGGUCUCUUACUCAGCAAGUCUCCUGUACUGUUUAAAACAAUAGUGUCCUGGUCCUGCUCUAAGCCAGUAGGUGCAAAAGCAGUUCUAAUGCCUGUCAGGUUGUGUAAGAGUCAGAUCUCAAUCAUUUUUGAUACCCAAAAUUACCACUGCAAGGCUGCCUUGCACAACACUUAAUUCAUCUGGGCCUCUAUUAAACAUCCUUUUGUGUCAGUAGAGUUCUUGAAAUGAAUUGAUUCUUCCAGACUCAGUGAGUGCUGAGAGCAGGUAGCCUUUGCAUAUUCAUUCCCCCUUCUGCACGCUUAGGGCUGAUCUUCUGUCUUAAUUUCCUUCCAAGAAGUCAGGCACUGCCUUAAUGAAGUCAAGUUCUUUGUUCUUUCUAAGGUUUCAUUCCAAGAAAUGUCAAAGAACAAGAUUUAAGACUCUACUGUACUGUAUUUGCAAAGAAAAGUAAAAUGUGACAAAUAGGUAGAAAAUUGCAUACAGAACUCCACCACCAGCAAAGACUUGAGAGAGCUUUUGGCAGUUAAAAAUUCACAUUCUUCUCCCAACUCAUAAGAAAGAUGAAAGACUGGUAUGGGAAAUGCAUUUUGCACAAAUAUAGCUCCAAAAAUGGAAAAAAAAAAAAAAGAAUCUCAAAGUUCAUUUACAGAAAUUCAGAACAUCCUGAAUCCUCUCAUAUUACAGCUUGACCCAGCCCUACUCAAUAGUGAAAACAGUUUACAAGGGAAGGUAGUUUUGGCUUUCUGAAAAGGUAUAACUUUAUAAUUAAAGGUACUACUAAUAAAACUGGAGUGUUGCAGAAGCAAAAAUGACAGUCACAGCUUUGACCUUCCCUGGCAUGACUAGAUGGGACUUUUAGCUACAAGGUAAAACAUUUAACACCUUACUCUUGCAAUCUACAAUGAAAGUAGCCAUCUAUUAUCAGAUACAAUCUGUACUGCAGUCGUAAUAGUGUUAGCUGCUACGACUAUAGAAACGAUGGAGAAAUGUGACAACGCUUAAGCUAUAAAAAGCAUAUUGGCAUGAUUCAAUAGAUGCUCUGAUCACAACACAAUGUGCUCCAAUAAAAAGAAAAUGCAAUUUAAUGUGCCCCUGUCAGUGGUAUGUGCUGCCUUGUGUUUGUUUCUUGCAUGGGAAAGAGGAACAGCAGAGAACAGGGGCUGAACAGGUGUUUGUCCUACAGCUGACCCCGCAAGCAGCAGACUUGAACAAGUCUUCCCAGACACAGAAUUUUGCCUGAACAGAGGUUGUUGCAAAGUCAGACCCAAGCAUGAAAACUACCUCCUUUUCAAAUUAAAGCUUUAAUUGGCACGACAAAGAAAUGUAUAGUGGUGUUUGGUGCAGUGCUGGGUAUACUGAACAACUUGUUCACCUACCAAAGGGUUACUUUUGAGAUCUGUAUCUGAACAUAGUAUCAGAUAUUAAAGAAAGUAAGUUGACUUGUUCUAGCAAUUAAAAACAGAACUGAAGAAAAUAUUUCUUAGUGGAAAUUCAGUGAAAAUAUUUUAUGCUGCAAGUCCAGCAUUCCAAGAUAGAAUCUUUAUUUUUUUUUCCAGUGAAUGUAUGCACAAUCCAGUACUAACAAAAGUUAGCAGAAACAUAUUUUAGUAAAACCUCAUUAAUCAUGGCAAUCUGAUAUAGUAUACCUGAUAUUCAUUAUAUUUAAUGAGAAAUCACCAAGCAAAUGUGCUCAUUAGUGACUCUGGUAUUGGACAGCUCUGUGAGAGGUACUUGUCUAAACCCUGUGUACAUUUAACAAGCUCCACGAAUAGCUCUGGGCUGCUUCCUGUUCCUCAGGCACUGGGAGCGUGUCUGAAAUGUUAUAAAACGCAUGGAGGCUGGUUGUUUAUGGGGGUGCUGAAAUCUUGGAUCCCACAUCCUCCUCUGCUGUUUCUCACGGUAUGUGUGCUUGGCAAGCUGCUGCUUCAUGUGCCGUGUCUCCCUGGUGUUCACCAGCUACGUGGCCCUGCAGUGUCUGAUCACUUCAAGAGUUCGUCCAGGCUUUGGAGAGCCUCCCCAAACCCAUGCCCCUGCCUCAUGUCUACUUUUGUUUUGUAUUUGCACACCUUGCCCAUAAAGGCAGUGGGCUCCCGGUUCAUUGCAGAGUCAGAACUGGACCAGCUGGGGUUGGAACUAAAUGGUCUUUAAAGUCCCCUGCAACCCAAACCGUUCUAUGAUUACAGGAUUCUGUGAUACAGUGACAGAAUUGGAGUUGGAGAAUUCUCUCAACAGCAUUAGUUCCUCUGCUCUGAACCUGGUCUUCCUUUCAAUGCUGGAAUGAAAAAGCAGCCUGUUCAGUACUCAGCCUGACUGCAGUUAAUAUCUACCAGCAGCAGUAACAGUGAUGCUUCCUUGAAUUCCCAAGUUUAAACUUAUUGGAAUCCAAGGUGAAAGGUAGAAGGGAAGAUUGUGCUAUUUGUAAUUAAAACACUACCAUGAGGAAAAAAUGAAGACUGAAGUGAGAUAAGGCUGUGCAGACAUCCAUGCAUGUACUUUGGUUUAGAUAAUGGAAAAACAGCCUGUACAAAUAAAAACCCAUCUCUUUCGUGUUUUU
Corvus hawaiiensis (hawaiian crow) is the source of this 6606-nucleotide long non-coding RNA. RefSeq lists it as uncharacterized. The record is from RefSeq and is a predicted model, not a curated record. The transcript has 2 exons. Lineage: Eukaryota; Metazoa; Chordata; Aves; Passeriformes; Corvidae.